Molecule: ribosomal RNA, 450 nt
Filed under: uncultured bacterium
Lineage: Bacteria
Description: bacterial SSU rRNA
Rfam family: Bacterial small subunit ribosomal RNA
Source: RNAcentral
UACGGGAGGCAGCAGUGGGGAAUAUUGCACAAUGGGCGCAAGCCUGAUGCAGCCAUGCCGCGUGUAUGAAGAAGGCCUUCGGGUUGUAAAGUACUUUCAGUCGUGAGGAAGGUGUUAAGGUUAAUAACCUUAGCAAUUGACGUUAGCGACAGAAGAAGCACCGGCUAACUCCGUGCCAGCAGCCGCGGUAAUACGGAGGGUGCGAGCGUUAAUCGGAAUUACUGGGCGUAAAGGGCACGCAGGCGGUUAAUUAAGUUGGAUGUGAAAUCCCCGGGCUUAACCUGGGAAUGGCAUUCAAGACUGGUUAGCUAGAGUCUUGUAGAGGGGGUAGAAUUCCAUGUGUAGCGGUGAAAUGCGUAGAGAUGUGGAGGAUACCGGUGGCGAAGGCGGCCCCUGGACAAAGACUGACGCUCAUGUGCGAAAGCGUGGGGAGCGAAACAGGGAUUAGAU